GAUCUUACCAUAAAAAAAAUCGAUCCACCGAUCGAUCAGGUUUCUGUGGACCGUACGGAGCCAGCCGCCUCGCCGUCGGCAGUCGCGUACAGAGGCGGUAGCGGCAGGGCGCCGGCCGCCGCAGGCCACGCAGCGACGACGGUGACUACGUGCCGCACGCGAGCGACACGGCACGUCGUCGGCCAGUCCGGACCUCGAUAUUAUGGUCAAGUUUUUUUCUCAAAUGAAAAGCACCAUCACAGGCUGUUCCGGAAGACUUAAUUGGGAAGGGGAGACUCAAUAUGAUCCGAGUAAGAGAAAAUUGAUAGAACAUUAUCAUCCUAGUUUUAAAGAUCUGGUAAGAAGAAAAUAUUUGUUGAAUGGACCUUGUCAGCCAAGAGACAUUGAUUUUGAAUCCUCGGAAUUUGGGGGUAAAUAGAGAAAGUUCAAUCCUAAAUGGUUUGAUGAAUUUGGGAGCUGGUUUGAAUACAACAAAGAGAAGAAGAGGGGAUAUUGUCUUAGAAUGGAUCAUACUAAAGAUAAUUUUCAAGCUUUUAGCCAUUUAAAUACUUUUAUUUCAGCAUUUUAUUAUGUUCUAUUGAAAAGUUUAAUUCUAUUUUUAUCUUGGUAGGUUACUAAACCUUGUUGUCAGAUGAUGUAUUUUGGAAUUUGGAGAUGCAAGACAUCUAUUUCAAUGGUGCAUCGGGUAACAUUUGCUCCAGCUCCGCCCCCG
Molecule: long non-coding RNA, 712 nt
Organism: Triticum aestivum (bread wheat)
Lineage: Eukaryota; Viridiplantae; Streptophyta; Magnoliopsida; Poales; Poaceae
Exons: 3
Source: RefSeq, a predicted model, not a curated record